UGGGAGUGAGAAUGUUGGCAUGAGUAGCGAGAUGUGGGUGGGAAUCCCACAGGCCGUAAACCCAAGGUUUCCAGGGGAAGGUUCGUCCGCCCUGGGUUAGUCGGGACCUAAGCUGAGGCCGAAAGGCGUAGGUGAUGGACAACAGGUUGAUAUUCCUGUACUACCGAUAACCGGUUGAGAGAAGGGAUGACACAGUAGGAUAAGCUAAGCACACUGUUGGUUAUGUGUGCCCAAGCAUUGAGGCAGUCAAAGUAGGCAAAUCCGCUUUGAUAAUGCUGGGAUGUGAUGGGGAGCGAAAUUUAGUAGCGAAGUAGCUGAUUUCACACUGUCAAGAAAAGUCUCUAUCGAGGUUAAAGGUACCCGUACCGCAAACCGACACAGGUGGGUGAGGAGAGUAUCCUAAGGCCAGCGAGAGAACUGUUGUUAAGGAACUCGGCAAAAUGACCCCGUAACUUAGGGAUAAGGGGUGCCACCAUCAGGUGGCCGCAGAGAAUAGGCCCAAGCGACUGUUUACCAAAAACAUAGGUUUCUGCUAAGUCGCAAGACGAUGUAUAGGAGCUGACGCCUGCCCGGUGCUGGAAGGUUAAGGGGAUCUGUUAGAGCAAUCGAAGCAGUGAACUUAAGCC
This 626-nucleotide ribosomal RNA is filed under the name Clostridioides difficile. RNAcentral's name for it is "bacterial LSU rRNA". It matches the Rfam family "Bacterial large subunit ribosomal RNA", at positions 1283 to 1919 of the family's 2925-position model. Lineage: Bacteria; Bacillati; Bacillota; Clostridia; Peptostreptococcales; Peptostreptococcaceae. The record is from RNAcentral.